UCAAGUAGAAAAGGGCGCAUGGUGAAUGCCUAGGCACUAGAAGCCGAUGAAGGACGUGACGAACCACGAAAGGCUUCGGGGAGCAGUAAGUAAGCGAUGAUCCGGAGAUAUCCGAAUGGGGGAACCCAAUACCGCGAGGUAUUAUCAAGAGCUGUUAAGGCUGUUGAAGGAAGACGCAGUGAACUGAAACAUCUAAGUAGCUGCAGGAAGAGAAAGAAAAAUCGAUUUCCCAAGUAGCGGCGAGCGAACAGGAAAGAGCCCAAACCAGCUGGCUUGCCAGUUGGGGUAGUAGGACUGCAAUAAAGUACUUGAAGCGAUAGCAGAAUUAUCUGGAAAGAUAAGCCAGAGAGGGUGAGAGCCCCGUAAGCGAAAUUGCAGAGAGACUUAGCAGGAUCCUGAGUAGGUCGGGACACGAGGAAUCCCGAUUGAAACCGCGAGGACCAUCUCGCAAGGCUAAAUACUAACUAGUGACCGAUAGUGAACCAGUACCGUGAGGGAAAGGUGAAAAGAACCCCGGAAGGGGAGUGAAAGAGAACCUGAAACCGUGUGCCUACAAGUAGUCAAAGCACAUUAAAGUGUAAUGGCGUGCCUUUUGUAGAAUGAACCGGCGAGUUACGUUAUGGUGCAAGGUUAAGUCAGAAAAGACGGAGCCGGAGCGAAAGCGAGUCUGAAGAGGGCGAGAGAGUAUCAUGACGUAGACCCGAAACCAAGUGACCUACCCAUGACCAGGUUGAAGGCGUGGUAAAACACGCUGGAGGACCGAACCCACGUGAGUUAAAAAUCGCGGGGAUGAGUUGUGGGUAGCGGUGAAAUUCCAAACGAACUUGGAGAUAGCUGGUUCUCUCCGAAAUAGCUUUAGGGCUAGCCUCGUGUGAAUGAUAAUGGAGGUAGAGCGCUGUUUGGACUAGGGGCCCGUCAGGGGUUACUGAAUCCAGAUAAACUCCGAAUGCCAGAUAUCAAUGCACGGGAGUCAGACUGCGAGUGAUAAGAUCCGUAGUCGAAAGGGAAACAGCCCAGAUCACCAGUUAAGGUCCCCAAAUCUAUGCUAAGUGGAAAAGGAUGUGGAGUUGCGUAGACAACUAGGAUGUUGGCUUAGAAGCAGCCACCAUUUAAAGAGUGCGUAAUAGCUCACUAGUCGAGUGACGCUGCGCCGAAAAUGUACCGGGGCUAAGCAUAGUACCGAAACUGUGGAUGCAUAUCAAAGGAUAUGCGUGGUAGGAGAGCGUUCUAAGAGCGGCGAAGUUAGAUCGAGAGGACUAAUGGAGCGCUUAGAAGUGAGAAUGCCGGUAUGAGUAGCGAAAGAUAGGUGAGAAUCCUAUCCGCCGAAAGACUAAGGUUUCCUGGGGCAGGCUCGUCCGCCCAGGGUAAGUCGGGACCUAAGGUAAGGCCGAGAGGCGUAGCCGAUGGACAACAGGUAGAGAUUCCUGUACUGAAAUUGUUCGAUAAGAGCAAAGGAGGGACGCAGGAGGCUAAUGACGCAUGUAGCUGGAAAAACAUGUGCAAGCAGUAAGAAAAAAGAUGAGUCAAAUGCUUAUGUUUAGAUUUCAAGCUGUGACGCGGAGUGAAAUCAAAGUAGCGAAGGUCAUGAUGUCACACUGCCAAGAAAAGCUUCUAGCCAGAGCAAUUUUACCCGUACCGCAAACCGACACAGGUAGUCGAGUGGAGAACACUCAGGUGAGCGAGAGAACUCUCGUUAAGGAACUCGGCAAAAUGACCCCGUAACUUCGGGAGAAGGGGUGCUGAUGGUAAAAGAUCAGCCGCAGUGAAUAGGCCCAAACAACUGUUUAUCAAAAACACAGGUAUCUGCAAAAUCGUAAGAUGACGUAUAGGUGCUGACACCUGCCCGGUGCUGGAAGGUUAAGAGGAGAGCUUAGCGCAAGCGAAGGUUUGAAUUGAAGCCCCAGUAAACGGCGGCCGUAACUAUAACGGUCCUAAGGUAGCGAAAUUCCUUGUCGGGUAAGUUCCGACCUGCACGAAAGGUGUAAUGAUUUGGGCACUGUCUCAACGAGAGACUCGGUGAAAUUAUAAUACCCGUGAAGAUGCGGGUUACCCGCGACAGGACGGAAAGACCCCAUGGAGCUUUACUGUAGCUUGAUAUUGGGUGUUUGUACAACUUGUACAGGAUAGGUAGGAGCCGUAGAAGUCGGAACGCUAGUUUCGAUGGAGGCAUUGGUGGGAUACUACCCUCGUUGUAUGAACACUCUAACCCUCGCCGGCAAUCACGGCGGGAGACAGUGUCAGGUGGGCAGUUUGACUGGGGCGGUCGCCUCCUAAAAGGUAACGGAGGCGCCCAAAGGU
RNAcentral lists this ribosomal RNA (2298 nucleotides) under human gut metagenome. RNAcentral describes it as "bacterial LSU rRNA". It matches the Rfam family "Bacterial large subunit ribosomal RNA", at positions 3 to 2317 of the family's 2925-position model. The record is from RNAcentral.